GACAGAGGGUGCAAACGUUGUUCGGAAUUACUGGGCGUAAAGCGCGUGUAGGCGGCAACACAAGUCGGAUGUGAAAUCCCGCGGCUUAACCGUGGAAGUGCACCCGAAACUGUGUCGCUAGAGUCCCGGAGAGGAUGGUGGAAUACUUGGUGUAGAGGUGAAAUUCGUAGAUAUCGGGAGGAACACCGGUGGCGAAGGCGGCGACCUGGGUCGAUACUGACGCUGAGGUGCGAAAGCGUGGGGAGCAAACAGG
Molecule: ribosomal RNA, 253 nt
Filed under: uncultured bacterium
Lineage: Bacteria
Description: partial 16S ribosomal RNA
Rfam family: Bacterial small subunit ribosomal RNA
Source: RNAcentral